AAUUUCAGGUAAUCGCGGGUUUGAAAACCUGAGGAAAGUCCAUUCUCGCACAAGCUGAGAUGCUUGUAGUGAUCGUGCUUAGCGAAACAAUAAGCUAAGGUACCCUUUUGGGUAACGGCAAGUUAAAAGCCUAAGGGCAACUAUGGCUGAGUGCUUGUAAAGUGCCACAGAGACGAGACAAUAUAGAAAUAUAUUGUGUGGAACGCGGUAAACCCCUCGAGCGAGUAACCCAAAUUUGGUAGGGGCACUCUUGUGACCAGGAAAUGAACUGAAGCAAGAGACAAGUAAUUGUAGAUAGAUGAUUACCCGGUGAAACUAACGCCUACGUAGUGACGCUGACAGAACAUGGCUUAUCGAA
This 358-nucleotide RNase P RNA is filed under the name Aerococcaceae bacterium DSM 111022. RNAcentral describes it as "RNase P RNA component class B". It matches the Rfam family "Bacterial RNase P class B". Rfam says of the family: Ribonuclease P (RNase P) is a ubiquitous endoribonuclease, found in archaea, bacteria and eukarya as well as chloroplasts and mitochondria. Its best characterised activity is the generation of mature 5'-ends of tRNAs by cleaving the 5'-leader elements of precursor-tRNAs. Cellular RNase Ps are ribonucleoproteins. Lineage: Bacteria; Bacillati; Bacillota; Bacilli; Lactobacillales; Aerococcaceae. The record is from RNAcentral.